GAAUUGUGUCGAUGUCACAAUAUUUAUGGACCUGACCGUAGAUAAAAUACUUUGCCAAGCAAUUUAUAAAGUUAAUGCAUAUAAGAAUCCAUUAGUAUUAAAGAACAUAAGCUUUAGAAGAAGUUGAUCCUCCUUCGUGGGACAAUGCUGCAUGUUUACCAACAGCUACAGUUUGAGACAAACCCUCUGUUAACAGGAGCAUAUAAUUCACGAUGGGAAAGAGAUAA
Molecule: non-coding RNA, 227 nt
Organism: Pelobates cultripes (western spadefoot toad)
Lineage: Eukaryota; Metazoa; Chordata; Amphibia; Anura; Pelobatidae
Source: the annotation of a GenBank genome assembly